UAACCCGGAUUUUAAAAAUAUUUUUAUUAAUAUUAUAAAUGAUUUUCUUAAAAAGAAAGGAAUAAGAUUUAAUAUUUUAUUCCAGUUUAAUGAGUUUUCAAGGUUUUAUAUUUAAACCCCGGGUUAUUGUGUUAUUGAUAAAUAAUUGUAAUUUCAAAAUGGAUUUUCAUAUAAAAAUUCUGUAUGAAUAUUAUGUGAGUAUAUGUGUUAUGUGAUGAAGUGGUAGUGGUGAAUUUGUUUGUUAAUUAGUUAUGAUUAAUUAUUAAUAUUAUAUGAUUAAUAUAUGAAUUUUUGUGAAUUUUGUGUUAUCCAGUUUAUUGAGCUGACUGCUCAUAUGUGUUCGUAUCUGAGAGAUUUCAAUUUCUAUAUGCUCAGGAGAAAAUAUAGUUUAUUUGGAUAUUUUCAUAUCGAUUUAUGGAAUGUUAGAUGAUUUUAUAAUCGAUUUACGGAUUUAAUUGCGUAUAUUUAUAUUUACUUAGUAAUUAUUUGACUUCCGUAAAACCGUUCACUCGUAACGAGGUAGUAGAUUUUCUUCCCGGAAGUUUCGAGAAAACUCACCUUUAGCCUAAUUUGAAUAUUCCGGACAUUUUUCGUGUUUUGACUUUUUCGAUCCGGAGUACGGUUUUCCCCGGAGUCGGUCCGGCGGAGUUUUCGGGUAUUUUAAUUGUCGAUAAUUAUCCAGUUUGUCUCGAUAAACGUGAACCGAGAUAUUUUCUUCAUCCUUAUCAUGUAAUAAUUGCAGUGGGACCCGCAGACCAAUAAUUGAGUUAAAAAGCCCCGUUUUGAUGAUUAUCUUGAAAACUAGUACCGAUUGGACCCCACUUUCUUAAUAUAAAGCUAUUAAAUACGUAUUUUCAUGUCAUAAACGAUCCAAAGGGGUACCAAUUCUUUGUAAAUAUAAAUAUACCUUUCUAGAGCUUAUUUUCACCCGUAAAAUCAUUUCACCAGUUUCUCUGCACGAAUACCGAGAGAAACCGAGCGGUGUUCUUCGUGUUCUUCAUAAUCAAACGUGGAUUUGAAGGCGUUAUUGGAGUCAGAAUCAAGCGUGCGAAUAGUCAAAUCGAAGAUAUCGAAGAGUAGAAUCUAUAUCUGCAAUCAAAAACAACCUGAGAUUCACAGGAUUGGACGAGACGUGGAUGACCGAAGACGUUCAGAAGGACAAGUGGUGUUCCAAAGCGAAUAAAGAAUGAGUCGAGUAAGCGAAGUGCUGUGGCGAAUAGAGUAUAGCUAGAGAUGGUCUAGAGAUUAUAAGAUGCAUAUAUUGUGAAAGUGGAAAGUUGAGAAUGAGCUGUGAGACGGGAGUCAGAUUUAAGGCAAGUAUCCUAUACCCUUCUUUUGGAUAUCUUGCGAUUAUUCUGAUCCAUUAUUCUCGUAUGUGUUGCAAAUAUUCGUUCCUCUCUUUUUCAUAUUUGGCAAGUGCAAAUAUUUUUAUCCAUCCUUUUCUAAUCCUCAAAAAUUCAGAUAAUUCCAGUUUUACAAAUUAAUUCGAAGUUCAGAUUGUCAUUGAAGCAUGUGUUGCUCAGUGAUGAUUAGAACCUAGAAUGACUUGGGAUCUUCUUGAUUAUUCAACCCGCCAUUGUCAUGCUGGUUUAGCAGGCUAAAUUCAGUUGCUUAGCCGAUAAUGGAGGAUACUGAAUAGUUAAGGAUUUCCUGGAUUAUGAUUUAUGGAAGGAUGGACUCUGGUUUAUGAAAAGUUGAUUAUCAAAUGUUUGAUUUGGAAUUAUUUUAUCAUGGAUAUUGAUUGUGGUUAUGUUCUGUUGUUAUACGUUGACCUGUUAUUGAAUUAUAGAAUUGGAUUAUUGUUUUUAUAUAAACCUGUGGACCAGAUUCGUGGUCAUGUUAGGCCAAUGAGUGCCUUGGAUCCAGUGAUAGAGCAUGGCGGGGCCUGCUCGGGGUUAGUGCGGAACUGAUCAGCUGCCUAACCUUGGUUUUAAUUAAAAUGUAAUAGUCCAAUUCAAUAAUUCUUUGGAAAGAUUGAAUUUCUCAGUUUAAAUGAUGCAAGGUAUUGUAAAUCAUUCUAUACAAUACCAUGAACUCAUGAACUCAGGUUGAAUUCUCUUAUAUCUUGAACUCGUGAACUUCUGUUAUAUCAUUUCAGAACUAUCAUUGUUUAUUAUUACUUGCUGAGCAUUGUUGCUCACCCUUGCUAUUCCUUUCUAACCAUUUCAGAAAGGCUGAAAGAUAAGAUGAUUGAUUGAGAUUGUGGAUAAGGCUAAUGCUAGGCGAGGAGACAGAGUUGAGGAUCCAGUGGUCGAGGAGUAUUCAGGAAAGUUGAUAAGGUUGGUGCUAGCUAGAGUUAUGCUAUGAAGUUUCAGAUGUAAGUCAUGGCUGGAGUAAGUUGACAGUGAUUCUUCUUAUCGAAGAUGAUCUGAUUUGGUAAGGGAUGUUGUGUAGUAUUAGUGGUGAAUUCUAAUUUCAAUACUGUAACCUGGAAGCGAUCCUGUUGUUUUUGGGGGUUAAAAUGUUCUCUUUCGAAUCAGCUAUUAAAGUUUAAAUGUUCUCUGAAAAGUUCUUUUA
Molecule: long non-coding RNA, 2517 nt
Organism: Daucus carota subsp. sativus
Lineage: Eukaryota; Viridiplantae; Streptophyta; Magnoliopsida; Apiales; Apiaceae
Exons: 2
Source: RefSeq, a predicted model, not a curated record